This 1245-nucleotide ribosomal RNA is filed under the name Triticum aestivum (bread wheat). RNAcentral describes it as "partial small subunit ribosomal RNA". Lineage: Eukaryota; Viridiplantae; Streptophyta; Magnoliopsida; Poales; Poaceae. The record is from RNAcentral.
AUGAAGCGUCGGAACCCUCCGUCCGGCGCCGGAUUGCCCGCAGGAGAGGGCUCGGGGUGGGAGGCGAAGUGGGAGCGGCCUAAUGGGCGUUGGAGAGGGAGACAGCCGGCGCCCGUGGUGAAGUGGUCGCACGCCGAGGCCAUGAAGAAGAAGCCCAAAGUUGGUGGCGGAGCAGCCUUGGUCGGAGAUGGCGGAGGGUGGCGGAUGGAGACGGAGGCGGAAAUGGUGGGGCUUGAUGGACGAAGCUGCGGCGGAAGAGGGUUUUUUGGAACGAGCUGGGCGGAGGCGGCGGAGAAGAGCGCGGAUGCGGCCACCGGCGGAGGAGAGAACGAGUGGCGUUUGCCGGAGACGGAAAAGGCGAAUCCUUGCGAGGCCGUGGAAGGGGGCGGUGGAGGAGAUGCGAGGGGCGAUGAGGUCAAGGAGGAACUGUACGAUUGGAGGUGGACGGAGGCUGUGAGCCCGGAGAUAAUGGCGCUGAUACUGCGGGGCAGGUUCGCCGCCGACGAGAUUGCGCGCGGGCCCUCGGCGGUGUGCAGGGCGUGGAGGGAGGCCGCUGCGUCGCCGGACAUGUGGGGGGACGUGGACAUCGAGGCCUGGUGCCGCCGCAUCAAGUGCCGUGUCAGGGCCGACGCAGCUGUGCGCCGCCUUGUCGCCCGCUCCCAGGGCACGAUCCGGCGGCUCUCAGCCUACCGUGUCGGCGACGCUGCGCUUGCCUAUGCCGCCGCCUCUGGGAAAUUGCUUAAUGUCCUCCUGAUCCCGAUGAGCGAGAUAUCUGACCAAGCCGUGGAGAAGUACGUGAAAUGCUUUACUGCCCUAAGAGUGUUGGACAUCAGUUACUGCGUGAAAGUCACAUCGAGAGGCAUGGAAGCAAUAGGCCGACAAUGCAAGUCGCUUGCUCAGCUGAAGAGGAACAUGCCUCCUCCACAGCCUCCCCUGGGCAACAAUGCAGCACCUACGGUGGUUGAAGACGAGGCCCUGGCGGUUGCAAAUACCAUGCCGAUGCUUACACAACUUGAGCUUGCAUAUGGUUUGUUCAGUGAUAUUGGCCUAGAUGCCAUCCUCAACCAAUGCCCUCUGCUGCGUACACUGGACAUACUUGGCAGCUUGAAUGUCAGGCUCGACGGCGACAUCGAGGACAGAUGCUGCGCUCUCGAGUCGUUCCGGGAGCCAUGGGAGCCUGAGUAUCACGAGUACUCGAGCAGUGGUGGCGAUGGCGACUACGAUGACACCGAAAGCGAUGAUUGA